CUCGGGUCGUGCUAAUAGAAUAUUAGAAGAAAACACAAGGUUUAGCUCUACCAGCCGCUUCCUAUUUGCAAUCAGAGACGACGAUCGACGAAGACGCAACAAAUUAACGGAUCAGUCAUUUGGUGAAAUCUUCAAUUGAGAAAACAAUGCCUCCAAGAAGGAACAACGCUGCAAGAGUCAACGUCAACAGGGAUGAUCAAAUGAUUGAAGCAAUGAAUAACAUGGUUGCUUUUGAUGCUGCACAAACAGCUGCAAAGACUCUACGGGGUCUAGAGAAGAGGGAAAGGGAGAUUUGUGCUGCUGAGUCAAGAGGAUUGGAAGAUUUUCUUCAUCACAAUCCUCCAAAAUUCAGGGGUGAUGAGAGUCCACAAAAAUCCGACCAUUGGAUUUAGGAAGUGGAAAAGGUCUUCAAAAUGAUUAAUUAUCACGCAGAGGUGAAGGUCAAUUAUGCUACGUAUCUGCUAUUAGGGGUAGGGGUGGGAAUAGGUCAGGCCAGACCAGGCUUUGAAAGGCUUGAG
This is a long non-coding RNA of Cicer arietinum (chickpea), 518 nucleotides long. RefSeq lists it as uncharacterized. The record is from RefSeq and is a predicted model, not a curated record. NCBI's taxonomy places the organism in Eukaryota, Viridiplantae, Streptophyta, Magnoliopsida, Fabales, Fabaceae.